UACGUAGGGUGCAAGCGUUAUUCGGAGUGAUUGGGCGUAAAGGGUGCGCAGGCGGCGUGCCAAGUCUGUCAUCAAAUACCUCGGCCUAACUGAGGUUCUGUGAUAGAAACUGGCAUGCUAGAGGGUGGAAGAGAGAAGUGGAAUUCUCGGAGUAGCGGUAAAAUGCGUAGAUCUCGAGAGGAACACCGAUGGCGAAGGCAGCUUCUUGGUCCACACCUGACGCUCAUGCACGAAAGCGUGGGGAGCAAACAGG
RNAcentral lists this ribosomal RNA (253 nucleotides) under uncultured bacterium. Its description in RNAcentral is "partial 16S ribosomal RNA". It matches the Rfam family "Bacterial small subunit ribosomal RNA", at positions 524 to 776 of the family's 1533-position model. The record is from RNAcentral.